GGUGGUGUGGUGUAAUGGUAGCACGUAGUGUUGUGGUUUCUCCUCUCAGGGUCUUCACGAAGUCGAGUCUUUACAGUCUCUCUACAAUCCCGCUUCAAUCUGGGUUCGAUUCCCAGCACCGCCA
This 124-nucleotide transfer RNA is filed under the name Sclerotinia borealis F-4128. It matches the Rfam family "tRNA". From Rfam's summary of the family: Transfer RNA (tRNA) molecules are approximately 80 nucleotides in length. Lineage: Eukaryota; Fungi; Ascomycota; Leotiomycetes; Helotiales; Sclerotiniaceae. The record is from Rfam by way of RNAcentral.